Molecule: long non-coding RNA, 660 nt
Organism: Tarenaya hassleriana
Lineage: Eukaryota; Viridiplantae; Streptophyta; Magnoliopsida; Brassicales; Cleomaceae
Exons: 3
Source: RefSeq, a predicted model, not a curated record
AUUGCACAUAAUUUUUUUGCGGGGUUAAAAGAUAAAAUUUUAAACUUCCGUAAGUGGGCCGUAAAACAAAAAAUAAUCGGGCCGAAUUUUGGUGUCCGUUAGCUUUUUGAGCCCGUAACUGAACUCACCGUUAACAUGGGAACAUCUUCCUUCUCGUGAACAUCAUAUAUAAACCCUGUAGAUAUAAAACCGAGAGAAAACGCAACGGUUUCCAUACGAGAGGAAGAGAGAGAAUCACUCGAUCUCUCUUCUUCUUCUUCGCCGGGAACCCUAACAACUAGUUCACGCCAUUGUUGGAGGCUUUCACUGUUAUCACCGCGUGAUCAUGGGCUGAUCGCCUUCAAAUGUUGCCGGGAAUCGUCACUGGCCGACUUGGCGUGAUCGGUUGUUCGACGCAGCGGCGUUAAAGUUAAGGCGAUGCAGGUUGCUGUCUGAACAGAGCACAAGGUACAAGUAGAGGAGGAGGGGUUUGUCCAAGUUUAUUAUCUGUUUGCCAUCUCCAACUCCGCGGGGCCAUGGCCGUGGUUAUGUGGAGAUGCUCCCACCUGUCUAUUUGAUUCUUCUCAACACAAGACGAUCCCGAGGGAGGUGAUUCAUGAGCUCAGAUAGAUCAUGGAGAGGCCCAUUUGAAGACGGUGAUGAUGAAGAAGAAGAAGAGGA